CAUUCAACUCUACACAAUUUCCCUUUCCUUGAUCCCUAUCUUUUUCUUUUUCUUUUUCUUUUCAACUCCACACAACCAUGAGAAUUUUCUUUGCUUUUCUUUUUCUAAUUUUUUUUCUAUGCUCUAUGGUUUCAAGGGUAUUUUCUUUUUUCUUGUUUCUUUUCAAAUUUUCACCCUUUCAUAAAAAUUCACUUUUCCAAGUUUCUAAUCAACUUUUCACUUUACUCUCCCCAACUUUAGAUUCCAAAACCAAAUUUAU
RNAcentral lists this long non-coding RNA (259 nucleotides) under Lathyrus oleraceus (garden pea). RNAcentral's name for it is "Pisum sativum (pea) long non-coding RNA (PSAT_LNC020467)". Lineage: Eukaryota; Viridiplantae; Streptophyta; Magnoliopsida; Fabales; Fabaceae. The record is from RNAcentral.